Molecule: transfer-messenger RNA, 344 nt
Filed under: Lentisphaerota bacterium
Lineage: Bacteria; Pseudomonadati; Lentisphaerota
Description: Lentisphaerae bacterium (anaerobic digester metagenome) partial transfer-messenger RNA
Rfam family: transfer-messenger RNA
About the family: Bacterial tmRNA, also known as 10Sa RNA or SsrA, is named for its dual tRNA and mRNA-like properties. Its role is to liberate the mRNA from a stalled ribosome.
Source: RNAcentral
GGGGGCGACAAGGUUUCGACGGGACGGUUGAGGCCUCAGUUGCGCGCCGAGGACUCCGGUAUACUCGUCAAUUUACGGAAAAACUAAACUGCCAACUCUGAAUUGGCCUUCGCGGCUUAAUAUUGCCGCGACACGGAACUGCUAACGCCUGCUAGGCGGGGAAGUGUCAUUUAGCAGGCUGGCAUGCGGCUGGGUGGCCGGGACGUAUGCGACACAACCGUGGCCGCUGGCGCAUCGGGUGGCCUGCCUAUGGGCAGCCUGAUGGGCGAGACUUAAUUAUGGGAUACGCGCGUAGAUGCUGGUGUUACUUCGUUUCGGACGGGGGUUCGCCUCCCCCCGCCUCC